GUACCACCUUGUCGGGUAGCUUAUCAGACUGAUGUUGACUGUUGAAUCUCAUGGCAACAGCAGUCGAUGGGCUGUCUGACAUUCUGGUAUC
Molecule: microRNA precursor, 91 nt
Organism: Chinchilla lanigera (long-tailed chinchilla)
Lineage: Eukaryota; Metazoa; Chordata; Mammalia; Rodentia; Chinchillidae
Source: Ensembl